RNAcentral lists this ribosomal RNA (1031 nucleotides) under Helminthosporium velutinum. RNAcentral's name for it is "SSU rRNA". It matches the Rfam family "Eukaryotic small subunit ribosomal RNA", at positions 73 to 1113 of the family's 1831-position model. The record is from RNAcentral. Lineage: Eukaryota; Fungi; Ascomycota; Dothideomycetes; Pleosporales; Massarinaceae.
AUUAUACCGUGAAACUGCGAAUGGCUCAUUAAAUCAGUUAUCGUUUAUUUGAUAGUACCUUACUACUUGGAUACCUGUGGUAAUUCUAGAGCUAAUACAUGCUAAAAACCCCGACUUCGGAAGGGGUGUAUUUAUUAGAUAAAAAACCAAUGCCCUUCGGGGCUCCUUGGUGAUUCAUAAUAACUUCUCAGAUCGCAUGGCCUUGCGCCGGCGACGGUUCAUUCAAAUUUCUGCCCUAUCAACUUUCGAUGGUAAGGUAUUGGCUUACCAUGGUUUCUACGGGUAACGGGGAAUUAGGGUUCGAUUCCGGAGAGUUAGCCUGAGAAACGGCUAACACAUCCAAGGAAGGCAGCAGGCGCGCAAAUUACCCAAUCCUGAUACAGGGAGGUAGUGACAAUAAAUACUGAUACAGGGCUCUUUUGGGUCUUGUAAUUGGAAUGAGUACAAUUUAAACCUCUUAACGAGGAACAAUUGGAGGGCAAGUCUGGUGCCAGCAGCCGCGGUAAUUCCAGCUCCAAUAGCGUAUAUUAAAGUUGUUGCAGUUAAAAAGCUCGUAGUUGAACCUUUGGCCUGGCUGGCGGGUCCGCCUCACCGCGUGCACUUGUCCGGCCGGGCCUUUUCUUCUGGAGAACCGCAUGCCCUUCACUGGGUGUGUUGGGGACCAGGACUUUUACUUUGAAAAAAUUAGAGUGUUCAAAGCAGGCCUUUGCUCGAAUAUUACAGCAUGGAAUAAUAAAAUAGGACGUGCGGUUCUAUUUUGUUGGUUUCUAGGACCGCCGUAAUGAUUAAUAGGGACAGUCGGGGGCAUCAGUAUUCAAUUGUCAGAGGUGAAAUUCUUGGAUUUAUUGAAGACUAACUACUGCGAAAGCAUUUGCCAAGGAUGUUUUCAUUAAUCAGUGAACGAAAGUUAGGGGAUCGAAGACGAUCAGAUACCGUCGUAGUCUUAACCAUAAACUAUGCCGACUAGGGAUCGGGCGGUGUUAUUAUUUUGACUCGCUCGGCACCUUACGAGAAAUCAAAGUGUUUGGGUU